AGUGAACGCUGGCGGUAGGCCUAACACAUGCAAGUCGAACGGCAGCACAGUAAGAGCUUGCUCUUACGGGUGGCGAGUGGCGGACGGGUGAGGAAUACAUCGGAAUCUACUUUUUCGUGGGGGAUAACGUAGGGAAACUUACGCUAAUACAGCAUACGCCCUACGGGUGAAAGCAGGGGAUCUUCGGACCUUGCGCGAUUGAAUGAGCCGAUGUCGGAUUAGCUAGUUGGCGGGGUAAAGGCCCACCAAGGCGACGAUCCGUAGCUGGUCUGAGAGGAUGAUCAGCCACACUGGAACUGAGACACGGUCCAGACUCCUACGGGAGGCAGCAGUGGGGAAUAUUGGACAAUGGGCGCAAGCCUGAUCCAGCCAUACCGCGUGGGUGAAGAAGGCCUUCGGGUUGUAAAGCCCUUUUGUUGGGAAAGAAAAGCAGCAGGUUAAUACCCCGCUGUUCCGACGGUACCCAAAGAAUAAGCACCGGCUAACUUCGUG
Molecule: ribosomal RNA, 492 nt
Filed under: uncultured bacterium
Lineage: Bacteria
Description: partial 16S ribosomal RNA
Rfam family: Bacterial small subunit ribosomal RNA
Source: RNAcentral